CACUUUUCAGUAAUGUUUAUUAGUUUUUUUUCUUUUGAAGUCAGGUUCUUCAAUCACAGAAUCACAGAAUUUGCAACUUCUUUUACCAAUCAAAACGCUCAAUUACAAAAGAUAACAAGAUUAUAAAUGGUGCACAGCUGAAAGUCAGAUAUCAGCUGUAAUAUGAAGUUUCAGUUUGCUCUUUGUCCUCUCAGGGACUUCCUCUCAGUCUCCACCUCCACCCGAGAAAAAUAACAAUACAAAACCAUUCUUUGCACAGCGGUUGUUCAUGCAACAAUAAAAUUCCAUUUAACUCCAAUUUAAAAACAAUUAAAACUUUCAUCACCUCACACAUUGCACCAAAACCCGUUCAUGCAACACAUAACACCUGCUGAGAGGAGCGUUUUCUGAAAGGCUUCAAGCAAAACACAUUAACAGAUCUUCAGAUCAUCUGUAUGGGCAAUUCCAGCAGGCACAUGAAGUCAGAUGAUACAAACAUCAAGAGUUCUUCUUUUUCUGUGAUGAGGCAGUGCUGACUUAAAUUAAGAAGGACAUUAACAUAAAAGAAACUAUCAUAUAUAUAUAUAUAUUACCUAGAAAAUAUAACUCUUAUCUGUUUCAUUAUAUUGCAUAGACAAGUGAUCCUUCAUCACCCAGCAGUGCACCGCUGAGGGGUUACGUGCUACUACAUUCAUGUCACUUUCCCUCAGUUUCCCUGAAAAUAAACUAGGUGACUUUAUCCGUGAAGUAAACACAAUUAUUUGGUCCCUUAUUCAUCCUGAUACUAGAGAAAACAAAACACCACAAGUAAUGACAAACACAAUUAAAAAAUGAUCAAAACAGACCAAAAAACAACAUUAUUGUUCAAUAAAAUGGUGGUGACCUCAUCAGAUGGGUAAUUUUGGCGAAGGUGACUGGCUUCUAUCGAGGGCAAGACUCAUCUGAAAAAUAGAGACGGAGAUGGAAGGUAAAUAUGGUGAAUCUAGGAUCUUUAUGUCAUUUUAGUUUGUAUUUUGAGGUAUUCCCAUUCACCAAAGGUAACAUUUAUAGCUUUGUGAGAGCCAUAAAUGCAAUUUUACCUUUCCAUUUGCUCUCUGGUAUUUACAGUAGCAUUGAAUUUAAAAAUCUUAACCAUUUCUUUGUAAUUUUUAUUUGCAAAAGUUUCAUUUUACCAAGCUUGCCCUCAUUUCCAACCAGCUGCUGUUUACAAGAUAUUCAAAUUUGGUCAGUUUGUACAGUUAAGGUAUAUUUUUAUUUCCUAUAUUUUCUAACCUUCAUUUAACCUCCUCUUCUGUUGGACUAACUACCCUUGCAGACAGUUCAUAUAUUUAAAAAAAAAAAAAAAAAAAAACUAAACAAAAAUGAUAUACUGCUAGGUUAGCAACCAAGCUAACAGAUGCGCUGACUAGCAGCUAGUGUGCUAACUGCUAGUUUGCACAAUAACUCCUAGAAACAUUUUUCAAUAACUCUAGGGAAAUUAUGUAAAAUCCACAACAGUGACAGGAGAAAUAUACAUGUCUCCAGUACAGAAGAAUGACCUGCCAGCAUUUAUUAAAUGUUUAGAAAUGUAUAUUUUUAACGUCACUCUCCCCUUAGCAGCAAAGCUAGCAGCUAGCUAAAUUGAAAAGCCUUUUUGCCCCUUCAGUAAAUCUUAUUUAAUAAUAUUAUGUAAAUAUUGGCGACAAAAUGCUAAGGGUAGUAAUUCAGCAAACAUGGACGAACAAUAUUACAAGGAAUGUGUAUGUAUGUUAUUUUAAUAGAACAAUAACUUAGAGUGACCAUAUUUUGAUUUCUAAAAAAGAGGACACUUGGCUACUCAUGAAGAACUUGCUUAAAGAAAUAUAUUUAACAUAUUUAAACGAUGCCUUCUCUGUGUGGUUAAUGAAUUGUCAAAAUAAAAUAUGUCAUAGAGGCUUUUGCAAGUCAACAAGUGCAAAAAAAUAACUUAAAAGCCUCUGGAAUUAAAUAAUGGUACAGAAAUAACGCCUCAUCUGCAUAAGAAAAAUUACCAGUACUGGGUCGGUACGAGGGAAAUUUCUUUUGCGGUUCGUCUGAAAAGAUGCACUUGCGCUUUGGGAUCUUUUAAACAUCAUUAGGCGCAUUGCUGCGUGCUGUCUGUCCCAUCUGUGAGCGCAGAACAAGCGCUCACAAAGCAGCAGUUCGGGAAUGACGUCACACAUGGGUCCUCUGUCUGAAUAUAGGAAAACCCGGACAUUUUUAUCAAUCUCGAAAAUCCCCCCCAGACGCACCGGACAGAACAUGAAAAGGGGACAUGUCCAGUGAAAAGAGGACGGUUGGUCACCCUACAAUAACUAAUCUUGUUAUUACAUGGCUCUGAACAAACUGAUGCUACAGAAGGGACCAUCACCUGUGGUAACAACAUGUGACUGACAAAACAUUAACAAAUGAGCAUCUGGUUUCAGACUCAUAUAAAGACAUCUUUACAUUACUGAAGAGACAUUUAGUCACCAUUUUUCCUUCAGAAAUUUCCUAAAAAGCUGGGCACUGUGGUUUUUAGCACACAAGUAUUUUUAUUUGUGAAUUUGUACACAUUUGGAGUCUCUCAGAAAAACUACAGUGCCCAUUCUUUUCCUACUGAGGAAACAUCAUGAAUUUUAUGUCAGUGGUAAACAAUGAAGAAGCAUAAUGUCCGGCUUUCUUGUUAGGAUCAAUACAUUGUUGGUUUGGGAUUUGCGAGUUAUAAGACAAGCUCAAGCCUUAUCUUGAGGCACUCAGCCUUCUUCUGACCAUAAACCAAAAUUCAGCAUGUUAUCUUUCAUGAAAUCCAAACCCACAGAGUUUAUCAGGGUGUCAGUAAGGCCGAAAAAGACCUCACUAAACGUUAUGUUUUCUGAGCCGUGGGGGUAAGUGACUCACAUCUAUUACACGCGGUCCCGUUGCAGUUCCCGUACUCCUCGUAUUCUUCACCACGACCGCCCCCCCCUCCCUGUCACCCUGCUCCUCCUGCACCUCCUCAUCCUGCAGCCUCUCCGCGCUCCCCAGGUCCUGAGAGUGGGGAUUGAAGAACUGCAUGAGGGCCUCCGAUGGGUACUCACACACCUGCUCCAGCUUGACCUCAUUAAAACACACCUUCCCC
This is a long non-coding RNA of Astatotilapia calliptera (eastern happy), 3076 nucleotides long. The record is from Ensembl. NCBI's taxonomy places the organism in Eukaryota, Metazoa, Chordata, Actinopteri, Cichliformes, Cichlidae.